RNAcentral lists this ribosomal RNA (255 nucleotides) under uncultured bacterium. RNAcentral's name for it is "partial 16S ribosomal RNA". It matches the Rfam family "Bacterial small subunit ribosomal RNA", at positions 524 to 776 of the family's 1533-position model. The record is from RNAcentral.
UACGUAGGAGGCGAGCGUUGUCCGGAGUUACUGGGCGUAAAGGGUGCGCAGGCGGCGGUUCGCGUGGCGAGAUGAAAUCUCCCUGGCUUACCUGGGAGGAUGGUCGCCAGACGGGAUCGCUUGAGGGUCGGAGAGGGGCGUGGAAUUCCGGGUGGAGCGGUGAAAUGCGUAGAGAUCCGGAGGAACACCGACGGCGUAGGCAGCGCCCUGGACGACACCUGACGCUGAGGCACGAAAGCUGGGGGAGCAAACAGG